AACAUCGCGCACCUGCGGGAACCUGCGGAGGGAUCAUUACAGAGUUGCAAAACUCCCUAAACCAUUGUGAGCGUUACCUAAACCGUUGCUUCGGCGGGCGGCCCGGGUCCUUCCCGGCGCCCCUCGGCCCUCGCGGGCGCCCGCCGGAGGUAAACCAAACUAUUGCAUUGUAUGGCCUCUCUGAGUCUUCUGUACUGAAUAAGUCAAAACUUUCAACAAUGGAUCUCAGAUCGGAAGAGC
This 240-nucleotide unclassified non-coding RNA is filed under the name soil metagenome. RNAcentral describes it as "partial contains 5.8S ribosomal RNA, internal transcribed spacer 2, and large subunit ribosomal RNA". The record is from RNAcentral.